GCACGGCACCCUCAGCAGCGAGCACAGGAGGUGGUGCUCAUCGGCUUUGCACGAGUGAAACACUGCGCCGCACGUUAGAGGGCAGCUGUUUUUGCCACCGCUGACCAUAGUGCAACAGCCAAGGUCUCAAAACUGCACUGUACUUUACAUCACUUAAAUUCGCCACUUUGUUGAUAUCAGCUCCAACUUUUGCUACCUGUCUAUUAAAUGAAGCAUACAAUUAAUUUCAUAGAACUGGUCGCAGCAUCAUCGCUGUCAGUCUAAACUCCGAACGUGUUUGGAUGACUUCAGUCGGGGGUCUAUAUUUAACAUGAUGCUAACCUUGGCUAAAAACAAUAGCAUUGUCGGAAGUUUCGCUGGCCCUUUCUUCAAGCUAUAGCGAUAUAUAACAAACAAA
This is a long non-coding RNA of Hippocampus comes (tiger tail seahorse), 397 nucleotides long. RefSeq lists it as uncharacterized. NCBI's taxonomy places the organism in Eukaryota, Metazoa, Chordata, Actinopteri, Syngnathiformes, Syngnathidae. The transcript has 2 exons. The record is from RefSeq and is a predicted model, not a curated record.